AGGGUUUGAUCAUGGCUCAGAACGAACGCUGGCGGCAUGCCUAACACAUGCAAGUCGAACGAACCCUUCGGGGUUAGUGGCGCACGGGUGCGUAACGCGUGGGAACCUGCCUUUUGGUUCGGAAUAACAGUGAGAAAUUGCUGCUAAUACCGGAUAAUGUCUUCGGACCAAAGAUUUAUCGCCAUUAGAUGGGCCCGCGUAGGAUUAGCUAGUUGGUGGGGUAAAGGCCUACCAAGGCGACGAUCCUUAGCUGGUCUUAGAGGAUGAUCAGCCACACUGGGACUGAGACACGGCCCAGACUCCUACGGGAGGCAGCAGUGGGGAAUAUUGGACAAUGGGCGAAAGCCUGAUCCAGCAAUGCCGCGUGAGUGAUGAAGGCCUUAGGGUUGUAAAGCUCUUUUACCCGGGAUGAUAAUGACAGUACCGGGAGAAUAAGCCCCGGCUAACUCCGUGCCAGCAGCCGCGGUAAUACGGAGGGGGCUAGCGUUGUUCGGAAAUACUGGGCGUAAAGCGUGCGUAGGCGGCUUGGCAAGUCAGGGGUGAAAUCCCAGAGCUCAACUCUGGAACUGCCCUUGAAACUGCCGAGCUAGAAUCUUGGAGAGGUCAGUGGAA
RNAcentral lists this ribosomal RNA (612 nucleotides) under uncultured Sphingomonadales bacterium. Its description in RNAcentral is "bacterial SSU rRNA". It matches the Rfam family "Bacterial small subunit ribosomal RNA", at positions 8 to 666 of the family's 1533-position model. Lineage: Bacteria; Pseudomonadati; Pseudomonadota; Alphaproteobacteria; Sphingomonadales. The record is from RNAcentral.